CCUACGGGUGGCAGCAGUGAGGAAUAUUGGUCAAUGGGCGUAAGCCUGAACCAGCCAAGCCGCGUGAGGGAUGAAGGUUCUAUGGAUCGUAAACCUCUUUUAUAAGGGAAUAAAGUUUGGGACGUGUCUUAUUUUGAAUGUACCUUAUGAAUAAGGAUCGGCUAACUCCGUGCCAGCAGCCGCGGUAAUACGGAGGAUCCGAGCGUUAUCCGGAUUUAUUGGGUUUAAAGGGUGCGUAGGCGGCCUUUUAAGUCAGCGGUGAAAGUCUGUGGCUCAACCAUGGAACUGCCGCUGAGACUGGGGGGCUUGAGUGUGUUUGAGGCAGGCGGAAUGCGUGGUGUAGCGGUGAAAUGCUUAGAUAUCACACAGAACCCCGAUUGCGAAGGCAGCCUGCCAAGCCAUGACUGACGCUGAUGCACGAAAGCGUGGGGAUCAAACAGGAUUAGAUACCCCAGUAGUC
RNAcentral lists this ribosomal RNA (460 nucleotides) under uncultured bacterium. RNAcentral's name for it is "partial 16S ribosomal RNA". It matches the Rfam family "Bacterial small subunit ribosomal RNA", at positions 338 to 795 of the family's 1533-position model. The record is from RNAcentral.